GCUCCAGUGGCGCAAUUGGUCAGUGUACAGUACUUAUAAUGCUGAGUUUGUGAGUUCAAGCCUCACCUGGAGCA
This 74-nucleotide transfer RNA is filed under the name Oreochromis niloticus (Nile tilapia). Its description in RNAcentral is "tRNA-Ile (TAT) (tRNA-Ile-TAT-14-1)". It matches the Rfam family "tRNA". From Rfam's summary of the family: Transfer RNA (tRNA) molecules are approximately 80 nucleotides in length. Their secondary structure includes four short double-helical elements and three loops (D, anti-codon, and T loops). Further hydrogen bonds mediate the characteristic L-shaped molecular structure. tRNAs have two regions of fundamental functional importance: the anti-codon, which is responsible for specific mRNA codon recognition, and the 3' end, to which the tRNAs corresponding amino acid is attached (by aminoacyl-tRNA synthetases). tRNAs cope with the degeneracy of the genetic code in two manners: having more than one tRNA (with a specific anti-codon) for a particular amino acid; and 'wobble' base-pairing, i.e. permitting non-standard base-pairing at the 3rd anti-codon position. Lineage: Eukaryota; Metazoa; Chordata; Actinopteri; Cichliformes; Cichlidae. The record is from RNAcentral.